GAGUUUGAUCCUGGCUCAGGAUGAACGCUGGCGGCGUGCUUAACACAUGCAAGUCGAGCGAUGAAGUUUCCUUCGGGAAACGGAUUAGCGGCGGACGGGUGAGUAACACGUGGGUAACCUGCCUCAUAGAGUGGAAUAGCCUUCCGAAAGGAAGAUUAAUACCGCAUAACGUUGAAAGAUGGCAUCAUCAUUCAACCAAAGAAGCAAUCCGCUAUGAGAUGGGCCCGCGGCGCAUUAGCUAGUUGGUGAGGUAACGGCUCACCAGGGCGACGAUGCGUAGCCGACCUGAGAGGGUGAUCGGCCACAUUGGGACUGAGACACGGCCCAGACUCCUACGGGAGGCAGCAGUGGGGAAUAUUGCACAAUGGGGGAAACCCUGAUGCAGCAAUGCCGCGUGAGUGAUGACGGCCUUCGGGUUGUAAAGCUCUGUCUUUGGGGACGAUAAUGACGGUACCCGAGGAGGAAGCCACGGCUAACUACGUGCCAGCAGCCGCGGUAAUACGUAGGUGGCAAGCGUUGUCCGGAUUUACUGGGCGUAAAGGGAGCGUAGGCGGAUUUUUAAGUGAGAUGUGAAAUACCCGGGCUUAAC
Molecule: ribosomal RNA, 589 nt
Filed under: uncultured bacterium
Lineage: Bacteria
Description: bacterial SSU rRNA
Rfam family: Bacterial small subunit ribosomal RNA
Source: RNAcentral